AGUGGGGAAUAUUGCACAAUGGGCGCAAGCCUGAUGCAGCCAUGCCGCGUGUAUGAAGAAGGCCUUCGGGUUGUAAAGUACUUUCAGCGGGGAGGAAGGUGUUGUGGUUAAUAACCGCAGCAAUUGACGUUACCCGCAGAAGAAGCACCGGCUAACUCCGUGCCAGCAGCCGCGGUAAUACGGAGGGUGCAAGCGUUAAUCGGAAUUACUGGGCGUAAAGCGCACGCAGGCGGUCUGUCAAGUCGGAUGUGAAAUCCCCGGGCUCAACCUGGGAACUGCAUUCGAAACUGGCAGGCUUGAGUCUUGUAGAGGGGGGUAGAAUUCCAGGUGUAGCGGUGAAAUGCGUAGAGAUCUGGAGGAAUACCGGUGGCGAAGGCGGCCCCCUGGACAAAGACUGACGCUCAGGUGCGAAAGCGUGGGGAGCAAACAGG
Molecule: ribosomal RNA, 431 nt
Filed under: Salmonella enterica subsp. enterica serovar Gaminara
Lineage: Bacteria; Pseudomonadati; Pseudomonadota; Gammaproteobacteria; Enterobacterales; Enterobacteriaceae
Description: bacterial SSU rRNA
Rfam family: Bacterial small subunit ribosomal RNA
Source: RNAcentral